UCGGACGUGGUGCAUGGUGCACGCCCUCCAGCCCUAUGUUGGACCCGCCAGUAGGAAUAAGUUGGAGGGAAGCCGGGGUUCGAUUCCCUGUGUCCGAG
Mycena metata is the source of this 98-nucleotide non-coding RNA. The record is from the annotation of a GenBank genome assembly. NCBI's taxonomy places the organism in Eukaryota, Fungi, Basidiomycota, Agaricomycetes, Agaricales, Mycenaceae.